UACGUAGGAGGCGAGCGUUGUCCGGAAUUACUGGGCGUAAAGCGUGCGCAGGCGGUUUUGUAAGCCAGAUGUGAAAUCCCCGGGCUUAACCUGGGAAUGGCAUUUGGGACUGCAAGGCUGGAGUUUGGCAGAGGAGACUGGAAUUCCUGGUGUAGCAGUGAAAUGCGUAGAUAUCAGGAGGAAUACCGAUGGCGAAGGCAGGUCUCUGGGCUAUAACUGACGCUCAUGCACGAAAGCGUGGGGAGCAAACAGG
Molecule: ribosomal RNA, 253 nt
Filed under: uncultured bacterium
Lineage: Bacteria
Description: partial 16S ribosomal RNA
Rfam family: Bacterial small subunit ribosomal RNA
Source: RNAcentral